This 461-nucleotide ribosomal RNA is filed under the name uncultured bacterium. RNAcentral describes it as "bacterial SSU rRNA". It matches the Rfam family "Bacterial small subunit ribosomal RNA", at positions 1 to 507 of the family's 1533-position model. The record is from RNAcentral.
GUCACUGACGAGUUUGAUCCUGGCUCAGAACGAACGCUGGCGGCAGGCCUAACACAUGCAAGUCGAGCGAGGACUUCGGUCCUAGCGGCGGACGGGUGAGUAACGCGUGGGAACGUGCCCUUUGGUACGGAAUAGCCCCGGGAAACUGGGAGUAAUACCGUAUGGUGUCUUCGGACUAAAGAUUUAUCGCCAAAGGAUCGGCCCGCGUUGGAUUAGGUAGUUGGUGGGGUAAUGGCCUACCAAGCCGACGAUCCAUAGCUGGUUUGAGAGGAUGAUCAGCCACACUGGGACUGAGACACGGCCCAGACUCCUACGGGAGGCAGCAGUGGGGAAUCUUAGACAAUGGGGGCAACCCUGAUCUAGCCAUGCCGCGUGAGUGAUGAAGGCCCUAGGGUUGUAAAGCUCUUUCAGCUGGGAAGAUAAUGACGGUACCAGCAGAAGAAGCCCCGGCUAACUCCGUG